Haemorhous mexicanus (house finch) is the source of this 4974-nucleotide long non-coding RNA. RefSeq lists it as uncharacterized. NCBI's taxonomy places the organism in Eukaryota, Metazoa, Chordata, Aves, Passeriformes, Fringillidae. The record is from RefSeq and is a predicted model, not a curated record. The transcript has 3 exons.
CUUUCUGGUGAUGGAUCAAACACUGUUCUUGGUGUGAGAUUUACAGUCCACUUCCAUCCAUCAGAGCUUGGAUUUCCUCUCCUUUCCCCCCUCCUUUUCUCAUACAACCCACUUAGACACCAAAAAACCCAGCUUCCACUGCAGGUGAGUGGGUGUGUGAGCUCAGGACUGGGCUCCUGAGCUGCCCACAGAAGGGCUCAUCCCACAUGCCCCAGCACUCUCCAGGAUCAUUGGCUGAUGCUGAGAAAGCCAAAAUCUAUAGAGAAAAUAUAUUGGGUUGCUUUAUUAGGAAAUAAUGCAUUAAGAGAGCUUCUGUGGGCUUUGGCCUGCUUAAUAUGGAGCUUGGGGCUAAAAGCAGUGUCAAAGCCAAGACCAACCUAUUACUGGAGGUAAUUCCUACAAUGUUCUAUCCAAUUGCUGGUAUGAGAUGUUCAGAAGCCUUCCAGAGGCUUUUGAAAUAUCCAAGUUUUUUCUCCUCUCUCUUUCCAUGUUCAUUCUCACCCAGCCCAUCUAUGGCUGCUCUGUCCCAGGAGCACCCUGGGUGUCCCCCCGUGCUCAGGGAAGACAGGAGCAGGCAGGGACAUGCCCAGCAUGCCCAUGCAGAGGUGGAGCCUGGGGUCCAUAUGGGCUCAGUUUAAAUGAUGCUCGGGGGACUUUGCAACCAACAAUUAGACAUGUUUACUCAUGUAUUUGCCAGAGGUGCCUCCCUGAGCUCCCAGUAAACAGCAUCAAGAGCUACUUCUCUAAGGAGACUUCCCAGGGCAGAUCCUGACUUCCCCAGGGCUUGUGGUAGGGAGGGCCACGUUCCUGCAGUGUGUGGCAGCAGGAUGGCCAGGUCCCACUCACCAUAUGGUGGCAAGUUUGUAUAGACGGUGAAGAAAGCGAGAGUGCAGCCGUUCACCUGUAUCGACCCCAGCUCUUGCCAGGCUCAACCACAUCAAAGGGCUUGUGGGGAUUACUCAAAAUUCGAGCUGAGCUGCGUGAGGCGGCGGGCAGGCUUGGCAGGGCUGGUCUCGCAGCCUGCCCAUGGGCACGCCAAAAACAAAUGCAUUCAAACAUUUGGUUAGAAAAUGGUUUGGGAAUUUUUUGUCAGGGUUGUUUUCUCUUUUUUUUUCUUUUUUUUCCCUAGGUCUGGAAGCCAUGGGUGAGUCAUGUCCCAGCUUUCCUCAAUGAGAGAUCUAAAGCACGUUAAAAAAAAAAAAAAAAAGCCAAGCAAAACACGUCUGUUGUUUUAAUCACGGCUUGGUUUCACAAGACAUAGCUGGUCUGGGCUGUGAUGCAACUGAGUCUCUUCUUCCAAGUCACACACACGUGGAUUUUUAAGUUUCUUCUGAGAUCCUCUACCAGGCUGGCAAAUCUGCCCAGGUCCAGCCCACGAGCCACCAGAGAGCUGCUGCUGGUUGUCCAAAAUGAGUGUGAGCUGCCCAGUUAGCUCCAGUGGGCACCAGUUCUGAACCUCCUGGGAAGGUCUCAAGCUUAACUGGACAUCUACAAAGGCUGAAGCUGCUAAGAGAGACCACAAAGGUGACUGAGGGGUGAAGAGCAACGUCUGCCACUCUCGUGCCUUGCUUCUGUUGCUGCUGCUGUAGUGUUGGCUGUGGAUGUCUUGCUGAUCUCCUUCCUCUUGGUAAGCAUAGGUCUGGGCAGAGUGGGAAAGGCACAAAACUGCAGAAAAUUACAAUGCUAAGCACUUGAAAAGAGGGAAAAUCCACAUCUAAUAGGAAAAUCCUGUGGUAGAGUGUGCUGAGACAUCUGUCUUGGUACGUAAAGAAGGCAGAGAAGCUGUUGUAAAUAAACCCUUCAGCCUGGAACGUGCAACCAAACCUGCAUCGGGAAAUUCUUGUGCCCUUACGAAGUCAAGACAAAGUCUAUCAGGCUUCAUUCUGAUCCGGGGCACGCCCCUUUGGAUCAAGGUGGAGGACUGGGGCCAUCCUAAUUCCUAGUCAGUAAAAACAAAUAGCUCUAGCAACAGAGGAGAAGCAUGAAAACAAAGUUACUAUCAACACUCUGCCUUUUUGAAAUCCCUUCCAAAUUCUCCAAGGAUAAGAUCAAUGCGAACAAAAACAAUAACAGCUCUGUGUGGAAAGAAGGUGAAAAGGCAGCUCCCUCAGCAGCACACACCCAAGAAAUGGGCUUUGCUUUGCUUUCUUGGAGCUGACAUGAGCCUGGCACAAUUCAGUAGCACCCCAGAGCAUCAGCCAGGUAUUUUUUUUUUAACUUUACGAGCUCUGUAAUGAAAGCAGCGGUCGGCACCCCCUGUGCCAGAGCACUCCAAACCUGCCCGCGAUGGAAUGUGCUGAUAAAGAGGAAUAUUUCCUUGUGGACUUUGUUUGAGACAUAAAUUUAAAUAUUGCUAAUUUCCAGUAUCAGCCUCAGCAAGAGAUUCAACUCUUGGUGAUCCAUCUGUAAAUGGCGGCAGAUCUUUCUAGCUUUGAAUGUUUAAUUAGACAACAGGUGUCAUGACUUCGUCUCCCAGUCUCUCGGUUCUCCUGAGUGGACCAGUGUUUUCUCUGAAAGCACAAUAAAACAGCCAACAAUCCAUUUGUUACAAUGAGACAUCGCAGCCUAGUGUGUUAGGUGUAUGAAAAUGUAAGGUUUUGAUGUGAUUACUGUAUAACAAAUUAGCAGAGCUCAGCUCAGUUCUGAAACAUUCACCUUGAGAAUGAAAUUAAUUCUUUAAGUAAGAACAAUAUUUUUAGAAUAAUCUGAUGGUUUUAAAGUCAACAUUUUGCUACCUUUUAUAAGGCAAAUUUAAAGUUGGGCCUGUGGAUAAAUAUGAGUGACCAAGAUGACUGAAUAGUUGGAGACUAACUUACAGUAUCUUCAGGAAAACUCCUUAAAAAGAGAAGGUAAAAAAAAAUAAAUCACAUUCACAAAUGCAAUUUCUUUCCACCACUGGACCUCUGAGAGGAAAUAAUUAUAUCUCAAAGCUUACAAGAAUGAUCUCUUUAGAAUCUGAAAAGUCACUUGGACAUUAUCUGUACCAAGACUGAAUCACCUCUAACUGUUUUACUAAGUAUAACCAAAAGUAUAACAGACUGUAAGACAGCUUGUUCCGUAAUAAACAUUCACAUGUGAAAGAAGAACAGAGCUUUGAGUCACUGUUUAGCUUUCUUCCCCACGAUCUCAAAUUAAACCCAUGAACAGCUAUCCCUACAAGGGCCUUGCUUCCAUGCUUUGAAUCCUGACAUGCCCUGUGCUGGUCAUGCAGGAACAGACACUGCUGCAGGAUACAAGCCUCUCUCUCUCUCACAUCAGCCACCAAAUUAAUUUGUGUCAACCAAUGUCUUACAGCGCGGUGUAUGCUAACAGGAGGGGGGAAAACCCAAAACAAAACCAAAGCCCAAGACCCCCUGAAGACUGGGAAAAAAUAUAAUUAAUCCAGAAUGAUUAUGUUGCAUUUGGUUUAUCAGAUUCAAGUGGUGGAGGCUGCUAUGUGCAUAUUUUUACUGCCUUUUAUACAGGGUCUCUGCUUGUGACCACUGUCACCCUGAUUCUUUAAUUUGGAAGGAAACUUCAGAUAUCCUGGGUGGGCAGGUUCACAUCCACUCUGAGCUGCCUGAAUACAACAAGCCUAGCUGGCUUGUGCUAGGCCUAAGGAACUGAAACUGUCUGCAUUGUCCAUUCUCAUGUCUGGAAACCUUCGAGAUAUGAAAAUCCGCAGGCACUUUCAGAACAGCUCCAGGAUUUCACAUCUUGUCUGGCCCUUUUAUGUCUGAUUGUGCUUAAUGUUUUCAAACCUUAUAAAAGGCUCUCUACUAUUGCAUGCCACCCCCCAGAAUCAUGCAUAUGCUUUUGAAGAAGGUCAAGGGAGCCUUUAGUCUGCUUUGCUGAGAGCCCAUCUGGAGGACUCCAUUCAGGGGAUCCCAGAACAGGAAGGAGAUCAGCCUGCUGGGGUUGGCUCAGAGAAGACUGUGAAGAUGAGCAGAGGCUGCAGCACAUCCCCUAUGAAGACAGGCUGAGAGCUAGGAGUACUCAGCCUGAAGAAGAAAAGGCUCCAGGGAAACCUUAUUGCAGGUUUUCAGUACUUAAAGGGGGCUUAUAGGAAAGGUGGGGACAAAUGCUUUAGCAGGGCCCGUUGCAAUAGGACAAGAGGUAAUGGUUUUAAACAAAGAGAAGGUUGAUUUCUAUUAGAUAUAAGGAAGAAAUAUUAUACAGUGAGGGUAGUGAGGCACUGUCACAGGUUGUCCAGAGAGGUGGUGGAUGCCUAAUUCCCAGAAACACUCAAAGUCAGACUUGCUAGGACUCUGAGCAACUUGGUCUAGUUGAAGAUGUCCCUGCUCGUUACAGGGGGAUUAGACUAGACAGCCUUUAAAAGUCCCUUCCAAGCCAAACUAUUCAAGGAUUUUAAGUUUUUAAUGGAUUAUCAAAUGCAAUGUAAGGAGACAGUGUGGCUGAUGGCAGCACAGUAGGUAACACAGAAAAAGCUAUGUCUGAACAACAUACAAUUGAGUGCCAUUAGCACUGUCUGUGUACUGAUAAGAGCAUCUUCAGAGCUAUUUUCACAAAGGCAGUUCUUAAACACUUCCUUUUAUGUAUUUAGGCUUGUAUGAGUCACAUUUUGUGCUCAGUUAAACUUUCUCCUCAUUGCUCAACAUCUGGGAUAAUGAUAGUGCCUGGCUCUUUACAUAGAUAUCUCAAGAUCUUCAUCUGGAAAUAUCUCAAAUCACUUGAUAGGUGGGCGAAUUGAGGCAUUAGAGGUGAAGCCAUAUGCCCAAAAUCAUCACUUAGAAGGCCAAAGGCAAAGCUGGAAGAGGCACCCAGUCCUGGCUUCUGCUUGCCAGACAAGCGAGACUGAGUUCGGAUAAUAUUUCUUUUAACAGUUUGUGCUGUGAUUGGUAAAAUUAGAAAAAGAGGGGGUUUAAAAUAAAAACUGUAUACUUCCAUUGCCAAAACAUGUAUGGAUAGCACAGAAUCACAGAAAUGUGUACCUGCUGCAAUCAUCAUCACUAUCCCAAAUAACCAGUAUGAAAA